CCUACGGGAGGCAGCAGUGGGGAAUAUUGGGCAAUGGACGCAAGUCUGACCCAGCAACGCCGCGUGAAGGAAGAAGGCUUUCGGGUUGUAAACUUCUUUUAAGGGGGAAGAGCAGAAGACGGUACCCCUUGCAUAAGCCACGGCUAACUACGUGCCAGCAGCCGCGGUCAUACGUAGGUGGCAAGCGUUGUCCGGCUUUACUGGGUGUAAAGGGCGUGCAGCCGGAGAGAAAAGUCAGAUGUGAAAUCCACGGGCUCAACCCGUGAACUGCAUUUGAAACUGUUUCCCUUGAGUGUCGGAGAGGUAAUCGGAAUUCCUUGUGUAGCGGUGAAAUGCGUAGAUAUAAGGAAGAACACCAGUGGCGAAGGCGGAUGACUGGACGAGAACUGACGGUGAGGCGCGAAAGCGUGGGGAGCAAACAGGAUUAGAUACCCUGUAGUC
Molecule: ribosomal RNA, 441 nt
Filed under: uncultured bacterium
Lineage: Bacteria
Description: partial 16S ribosomal RNA
Rfam family: Bacterial small subunit ribosomal RNA
Source: RNAcentral